AAAGCACUCUGAAGAGAGAGUCAAAAGACCGUGAAACCGCUCAGAGUAUAAGCCAAUGGAGCUUGGAAGGCUUCCGCAGUCUCGGGCAUCUAUAUGGUGUUCCGCAAGGCAUGUAGCACGGCUCGUUAGGCGGAGCAUUGAGUUUUCUGACCAGCUGUCGUGCGGGGAAUCGGUUUGGGGGUCUUAGGCUUCGGCCGAAGGACUUCUGGCCGGUUCCUUUUGAAUGGACGUUCAGAGCUACUGUGUCCUAAUGCGGUUAUGCCCACCACGGCACGUUGUGAGGUCACCCACAGGCUCAAACUGCCGAUCGCGAUUCCAGGACAACGGCGACGAUGCGUCUCCGCAUUGCCUCUCACACGGGGCAAUGACGCGUGUCAAGUCCUGGGUCGGGCGGCGACCGAGUUAAACCUGGUAUGAUCCUCAUGCGACGAGCUGCUUUCUGGCCAGACCGACGUCCGGGCGCUUCCACUUGCCGGAAGUGUCUAUCCCAGGCGGUUGACCCAGCUGCAUUCUGCAAGGUCACUCAGCCGGGCGUUGGUCUGAGUGGUGUUAAGUCCAGCACCAUCGGUCACGUCUCGAAACACGGGCCAAGGAGUAUAGCAUGUGUGCAAGUCUAAGGGUCUCACAAAACCCGAAGGCGAAGUGAAAGCAAGACUGAGGCGGGGGAGCUUCGGCGAACCCGCCGGCCUAGUGGCACACCUUGUGUGUUGCCCGGCUUUUGUCAGAGCUGAUCCUGUUUAAUCUCGGUUAAUUCCUGGUGCAGGCGCAAGCUCCGGGCUCACGCACAACACUGGUCACACCUCGUGUGUGGCUGUGUUGUGAGCACCGUGGAGCAUGCAUGCUAUAACCCGAA
RNAcentral lists this ribosomal RNA (853 nucleotides) under Niphargus sp. 3 INM-2013. Its description in RNAcentral is "partial 28S ribosomal RNA". It matches the Rfam family "Eukaryotic large subunit ribosomal RNA", at positions 368 to 820 of the family's 3401-position model. The record is from RNAcentral. Lineage: Eukaryota; Metazoa; Arthropoda; Malacostraca; Amphipoda; Niphargidae.